This 253-nucleotide ribosomal RNA is filed under the name uncultured bacterium. RNAcentral describes it as "partial 16S ribosomal RNA". It matches the Rfam family "Bacterial small subunit ribosomal RNA", at positions 524 to 776 of the family's 1533-position model. The record is from RNAcentral.
UACGGAGGGUGCAAGCGUUAUCCGGAUUCACUGGGUUUAAAGGGUGCGUAGGUGGGUUGGUAAGUCAGUGGUGAAAUCUCCGAGCUUAACUUGGAAACUGCCAUUGAUACUAUCAGUCUUGAAUAUUGUGGAGGUUAGCGGAAUAUGUCAUGUAGCGGUGAAAUGCUUAGAUAUGACAUAGAACACCAAUUGCGAAGGCAGCUGGCUACACGAAUAUUGACACUGAUGCACGAAAGCGUGGGGAUCAAACAGG